RNAcentral lists this transfer RNA (77 nucleotides) under Pseudomonadota bacterium. RNAcentral's name for it is "tRNA-Arg". It matches the Rfam family "tRNA". From Rfam's summary of the family: Transfer RNA (tRNA) molecules are approximately 80 nucleotides in length. Their secondary structure includes four short double-helical elements and three loops (D, anti-codon, and T loops). Further hydrogen bonds mediate the characteristic L-shaped molecular structure. tRNAs have two regions of fundamental functional importance: the anti-codon, which is responsible for specific mRNA codon recognition, and the 3' end, to which the tRNAs corresponding amino acid is attached (by aminoacyl-tRNA synthetases). tRNAs cope with the degeneracy of the genetic code in two manners: having more than one tRNA (with a specific anti-codon) for a particular amino acid; and 'wobble' base-pairing, i.e. permitting non-standard base-pairing at the 3rd anti-codon position. RNAcentral also lists the same sequence under 1 other name. The record is from RNAcentral. Lineage: Bacteria; Pseudomonadati; Pseudomonadota.
GCGCCCGUAGCUCAGCUGGAUAGAGCGCUGCCCUCCGGAGGCAGAGGUCAGGGGUUCGAAUCCCUUCGGGCGUGCCA